RNAcentral lists this ribosomal RNA (1300 nucleotides) under Salmonella enterica. Its description in RNAcentral is "bacterial SSU rRNA". It matches the Rfam family "Bacterial small subunit ribosomal RNA", at positions 136 to 1460 of the family's 1533-position model. The record is from RNAcentral. RNAcentral also lists the same sequence under 1 other name. Lineage: Bacteria; Pseudomonadati; Pseudomonadota; Gammaproteobacteria; Enterobacterales; Enterobacteriaceae.
CAAGAGGACAACAGUUGGAAACGACUGCUAAUACUCUAUACUCCUGCUUAACACAAGUUGAGUAGGGAAAGUUUUUCGGUGUAGGAUGAGACUAUAUAGUAUCAGCUAGUUGGUAAGGUAAUGGCUUACCAAGGCUAUGACGCUUAACUGGUCUGAGAGGAUGAUCAGUCACACUGGAACUGAGACACGGUCCAGACUCCUACGGGAGGCAGCAGUAGGGAAUAUUGCGCAAUGGGGGAAACCCUGACGCAGCAACGCCGCGUGGAGGAUGACACUUUUCGGAGCGUAAACUCCUUUUCUUAGGGAAGAAUUCUGACGGUACCUAAGGAAUAAGCACCGGCUAACUCCGUGCCAGCAGCCGCGGUAAUACGGAGGGUGCAAGCGUUACUCGGAAUCACUGGGCGUAAAGGGCGCGUAGGCGGAUUAUCAAGUCUCUUGUGAAAUCUAAUGGCUUAACCAUUAAACUGCUUGGGAAACUGAUAGUCUAGAGUGAGGGAGAGGCAGAUGGAAUUGGUGGUGUAGGGGUAAAAUCCGUAGAUAUCACCAAGAAUACCCAUUGCGAAGGCGAUCUGCUGGAACUCAACUGACGCUAAGGCGCGAAAGCGUGGGGAGCAAACAGGAUUAGAUACCCUGGUAGUCCACGCCCUAAACGAUGUACACUAGUUGUUGGGGUGCUAGUCAUCUCAGUAAUGCAGCUAACGCAUUAAGUGUACCGCCUGGGGAGUACGGUCGCAAGAUUAAAACUCAAAGGAAUAGACGGGGACCCGCACAAGCGGUGGAGCAUGUGGUUUAAUUCGAAGAUACGCGAAGAACCUUACCUGGGCUUGAUAUCCUAAGAACCUUUUAGAGAUAAGAGGGUGCUAGCUUGCUAGAACUUAGAGACAGGUGCUGCACGGCUGUCGUCAGCUCGUGUCGUGAGAUGUUGGGUUAAGUCCCGCAACGAGCGCAACCCACGUAUUUAGUUGCUAACGGUUCGGCCGAGCACUCUAAAUAGACUGCCUUCGUAAGGAGGAGGAAGGUGUGGACGACGUCAAGUCAUCAUGGCCCUUAUGCCCAGGGCGACACACGUGCUACAAUGGCAUAUACAAUGAGACGCAAUACCGCGAGGUGGAGCAAAUCUAUAAAAUAUGUCCCAGUUCGGAUUGUUCUCUGCAACUCGAGAGCAUGAAGCCGGAAUCGCUAGUAAUCGUAGAUCAGCCAUGCUACGGUGAAUACGUUCCCGGGUCUUGUACUCACCGCCCGUCACACCAUGGGAGUUGAUUUCACUCGAAGCCGGAAUACUAAACUAGUUACCGUCCAC